Molecule: ribosomal RNA, 387 nt
Filed under: Rotifera sp.
Lineage: Eukaryota; Metazoa; Rotifera
Description: partial small subunit ribosomal RNA
Rfam family: Eukaryotic small subunit ribosomal RNA
Source: RNAcentral
AUUCCAGCUCCAAUAAGGAAAACUAAAGUUGCUGUGUUUAAAAAGCUCGUAGUUGAAUUUCGGGUAUUUGUUGCUAGCUGGUCUAACUGGCCAUGUUGGUUAACAGAUCCUCACUUGCUGGACGGCUGGCGAUGAUCUUUAUCGGUUGUCGUCAGUUGCCAGAACGUUUACUUUGAGAAAAUUAGAGUGCUAAAAGCAGGCUCACGCCUAUAUAUAUUGCAUGGAAUAAUGAAAUAAGAUCUCGAUUUUAUUUCGUUGGUUUUAGAAAUUGAGAUAAUGAUUAAUAGGAUCAGAGGGGGGCGUACGUACUGUGGUGUGAGAGGUGAAAUUCUUGGAUCGCCACAGGACGAACAGCAGCGAAGGCGUUCGCCAAGAAUGUUUUCAUUA